GUGGGUUGCCACCCUCCAUGCCCUACUAAGCGACCUUUCUGGUUCCUCAUGCCUUGGCUCGCUCACGAUGACUUCCCUCGCAUUCUCGCUGAUAUUUGGAAGAAAGAGAAGGAGCUUCCUUAAGCUCUCGGCCACCUUGCUCGCUGGUUGGGAAAGUGGAACUGGGAGGUUUUCAGCUACAUCCUCACCCAUAAGCGUGCACUCAU
This 206-nucleotide long non-coding RNA is filed under the name Linum usitatissimum (flax). RNAcentral describes it as "long non-coding RNA (LUSI_LNC003479)". The record is from RNAcentral. Lineage: Eukaryota; Viridiplantae; Streptophyta; Magnoliopsida; Malpighiales; Linaceae.